AGAAAAGGUCAUGCACUUGGUAAACGGACACCGACGGGAAAUCUCUGCCGUUCAAUUUCUUGCAGGAACUGGUUUUUAACAACAGAAAGAUUUCUAGAAACUGGUGCAGUGUGAGGCUGGCCAUCAUCAACCAGGGUUUUCUUCCCACCCCUGGAUGCCUCAUCCAUGGAUGACAACUGCCCAGCAUAGAGCUCCUCAAAUGAGUUCAUUCCAUGCAGUUUUCCAACUAGAGUGAGGAAGAUGUACUGAACUGGACCCCAGAAGUGUAGUGUUGAGCAUUACUGACUUUUUCCUUGUCUGUUUUUAGAAAUGAAUAUAAUCAUCUAAUAAGACUCCUCUGAUUCAAAACCCUAAGUAAAUUCCUCCCCCUAUGUUAUGAUGAAACACAACACCAACACCUCAGUGAACUUUUCCAUUCAGAAAAGAAAAAGGAGGUGCCCAGAAAUCUCUGGUCCACUGAUGAUCCGUGAACACACCAAGUUCAUAACAAUAGAAAAACAAAAACCCUUGGGGAAAAUUUUAAGAUCCAGGUAAGAAGCUACAGCACUGAACACAAAUGCUUACCUCUAAAACAUUCAACAAAAAUUAUGGCAAAGUUUAAGGCAAUUUGCUCACAUUUGAAUUUGUCCCUGCCCAGGACACUGCAGUGAGAUACAAAAGAAGAGAGCUUCACGAUUCCCAGCUCUUCCCUUGGAGGAAACUCAAAUCCAAACCACAGUUAAGAUACCAUCUCUAAUCCUUUACAGCAACUGUCCUCAAACACAACAGAGACAAGUGUAGGCAACAUGAGGGGGAAUAGCAAUCCUAGCAGACUGUUGGGAAUGUAAAUUGGUGAAGCCAUUAUAGAAAACACUGCAAAAGUUCCACAAAGUACUUAA
Phyllostomus discolor (pale spear-nosed bat) is the source of this 878-nucleotide long non-coding RNA. RefSeq lists it as uncharacterized. The record is from RefSeq and is a predicted model, not a curated record. The transcript has 2 exons. NCBI's taxonomy places the organism in Eukaryota, Metazoa, Chordata, Mammalia, Chiroptera, Phyllostomidae.